CCUACGGGAGGCUGCAGUGAGGAAUAUUUGUCAAUGGACGCAAGUCUGAACCAGCCAUGCCGCGUGCAGGAAGACGGCUCUAUGAGUUGUAAACUGCUUUUGUACGAGGGUAAACGCAGAUACGCGUCUCUGUCUGAAAGUAUCGUACGAAUAAGGAUCGGCUAACUCCGUGCCAGCAGCCGCGGUAAUACGGAGGAUUCAAGCGUUAUCCGGAUUUAUUGGGUUUAAAGGGUGCGUAGGCGGUCGGAUAAGUUAGAGGUGAAAUUCCGAGGCUCAACUUCGGAAUUGCGUUUGAUACUGUUCGGCUAGAGAGUAGUUGAGGUAGGCGGAAUGUAUGGUGUAGCGGUGAAAUGCUUAGAGAUCACACAGAACACCGAUUGCGAAGGCAGCUUACCAAGCUACUUCUGACGUUGAGGCACGAAAGCGUGGGGAGCAAACAGGAUUAGAUACCCUAGUAGUC
Molecule: ribosomal RNA, 460 nt
Filed under: uncultured bacterium
Lineage: Bacteria
Description: partial 16S ribosomal RNA
Rfam family: Bacterial small subunit ribosomal RNA
Source: RNAcentral